CCCUUCUGCUUCACAGGGACCUGUAAUCUAUUCAUCAAUUCUGUGUUCCUAACUGGGACAAAGUAAUGCCAGCUACUUGGGAGGCUGAGGUAGGACGAUUAUGAGUUCAAGGCCAGCCUGGGCAACAUUACAAGACCCUGUCUCAAAAAAGUAAAAGAAAAAAUCUACAUCUCCCAUAUUUCCUCCUUUCCUGACUUAGAUUUGAUUCCUUUCUUGCUCCUCUCUCCCUUUAUUGUAAUCACCUGGCAAACUUCCAACCCCAGUCAAAUCCCACCUUUAUCUAUUUUUUCCUACAUCCUAUUUUGGCCAGAGAAAGACAUACAACCUUGGUGGCAUGUCCAACUUUGAAUUAAGACUACAAGCCUCAAGGAGCACCUUGUUGAUGAAGGAGCUAUCAAACUAUAGGGGUUCAACCUCUCCAUUGCCUUGAUGCACCCUUCAGUUGGCUUCCAGGAUGACCCUUUUCUGAUUUUGAUUUUUUUUCCAAUCUUUGCUGACAGCUGCUCACCUGUGUGUCCACCAUGCUCUGAACUUUGAGGUUGAACUAUUCCAGGGCUCAAGCCUCUGGACCCUGCCCUCCUCCAGCUACAGUCAUCUCUCGGUUCUAGAUCAUGGCUUUCAAAAUCAACUCUACACAAAAGUGCAUUGCCAGCCUUGACCUCUCUCCUGAAAGCCAGACCUGUAACACCUGAUGCCCAUUUCACACAAUGGCUAAGUACUGAACACACUGUAUGCUCAUAACCUGCUCCCAAUCAGACUCCUGGUUUCCUGUCUCCAGUAUUCUCCUGUCACCUUCUCCAUGUUAAUUAUGGCAACCUCAUUCUCCCACUUGCUCAGGUAA
RNAcentral lists this long non-coding RNA (841 nucleotides) under Marmota monax (woodchuck). The record is from RNAcentral. Lineage: Eukaryota; Metazoa; Chordata; Mammalia; Rodentia; Sciuridae.